GAAGCUAUUAUAAUGGAAAAUAUUAAAAAAAUAACAGAUGUAUCUAUCAGUUCCUUCGAAUGCGAAAUCAGUUAUGCGAAAACGAAUCUCUUGAAUUGUUAAUUAAUUUUGAGAAAUAUUUAUUUGGAUUUUUUCUUUAUUAAUUUUUUACUGAUAUGUUUAUAUGCGCGUCAUGCAAAAGGCAAAAAUUUCAAGUUAGGUACCUAUUUUUGAGUUUUGUACCUUUGCCCCUCUGUUGCGGGUGUCCAUGGGCGGCGGUAAUCUCUUACCGUGAUUAACGUUUUCAACCAAAAGGUACCACAUUGUCGUUUGUUGAUAAGGUUGAUUUCUAAUUGAAUCUUGGAAAUAGCGCCUUACUGAAAAGCGACAAUAAGUACCCUUUUGGUUGAAAAUGGCACCUUUUAGUAUAUUGAGCCUUAAAUAAUUGGUCCAAAUAUAUAUGUUAUAUAAUCAUACCUAGUGUUUUGAGUACAGUAGUUAGGUUCCUUUGGUGGUUAAAAUUGUCCAGAUUCGAUAUUCUUUAUAAUCUUAAGGUAUGUUUAUAGCCGCAUACGUAUUAAAUUUUAAUCUAUAAUGACAUGAAUUUAUUAGUGUUUAGGUUUAGUCUGCUCUCAAAAUUCACUUGUAAAAAAACGCUAUAGUCUAUAUCGUAAUCAUUUGUGACGUUUUCAACCAAAAGGUACCACAUUGUCGCUUGUUGAUACGGUUGAUUUCUAAUUGAAUCUUGGAAAUAGCGCCUUACUGACAAGCGACAAUAAGUACCCUUUUGGUUGAAAAUGGCACAUUUAUUGUGUAAAAAGAUUCAAUUGUCGCCAUAUACUACCUUUUCAGGCAUUCACAUAAUAGGGUAGGUAUCUAUCAGUAUUUAAAAUAAAUAAUUAUACACCACGCAUGAAAUAAAGCACCAGAAGAUGAAUAGAGAAACGUAGACAGCAGUUAUGUUAAGACACAAUUUCUAUUUUAAACCCCGUAUAAAACUAUAAAGAGUAGGUAAUUUGAUCGUGACGUCACAUGCUAGUAUUUCAUAUAAAUUCCAUAGUAUCAAAAUCGUUUUGACAGUUCGAAAACAGAAACUGGUUUGAUUAGUAGUCAAAUAGGACUUCCGGUUCGAACGCCAUCUUGAUAGUAGCCUCGUGAUUAAUUCCUUUGUUUUUUGCUCAUUCAUAUUGUUUGAAGUGUAAUAUCGAUAGCUUUAUUAUACAAUAAUCUAAUGUGGUAGUGUGCAGUGAAUGGAGAAUUAAUCUCAAAGCGUGUUUAACCACCAUUUUGGAGUCAACGGCCGGUAGUCCACGUGCUUCUCGUAAAAUCCAGCUAUCGGUUUUACGAGACAACUACAACAACCACCGAACAGCGUCGUGCUCUAAGAGCAUUUAUUUUGUUCCUACCCUUUUACGUGACAUUGGCUACGGGCAACACCGCCCUCAAGUCCAUCAAGAAAAGAAAGUAGUCAAAUACUGUAUACUUGCAAAAUGUAGCGCUUAACAAUAACAAUAUAUGUGGUAUUUUCUAUAAAGAGGGACCUUAUUGUCGAUGGCGCUUACGCCAUUAUAAACGAUGCUCCGAUAUAAAUACAACGCGACGCUGUGCGGCGUAAGCGCCAUCGACAAUAAGGUCCCUUUUCAUAGAAAAUGCCCCAUUUGUGCUUCUUAAAAUUCUUUUCUCUUAUGACAAUAUUUAUUCGGAUGUAAAAAUUAUCGCCACAGCAAGUGAAUUUUGAGAGCAUUCUGGUGAUAUAUUAUCUAUAACGCUCGAACGUGCGUAGAAAACUAUUAAUAAAGUUGUAUGUAAGACACAUGUAGAGGGCGUUUUCCAUUUUUUUUAAUAAACCUCUUUGUUUUGUACAUGAAAAUUGGUAUUCGCUUUCGUACCUUGGCGCUUUUGUAAAAUAUGAAUAUUUCAACUUGACUUUAUUUCAACUGCCUCAAAUAAUGUUAAGCACCUGCUCCAUUAUUGAUAAAAGCGCCAUCUUGUGAAAGUGUACUUAAAAACUUAACGCCUAGUCUCCAAAGAUUGUCUGUCCACAAAAUACCUUUAUUUUAUGCAAUACACAAACUUAAGGCCUUAAGUUUCUAAUUCUAACAUUAAGAUUCUUUAACCAUUCUGAUCGUUUUGAAUUAUAUUUUGAAAUGUGGACAGAUAUAAACAAAAUUGUAUGAAAAUUCUGAUUGUAACUGAAGUAUUAUUAAUAUUAUCAUAUAAAUGUAUUUAUUGAAUAGUUUUAGUACAAAUUAUAGCGUUUUUAUAUAUUUAAUGUAUAGAUAUUGUUAGGUGUAGUUGUAUAUUGGAUUGAUCUCAAUUUAUUUGCGUGGUGGGAUGUAGAUGGCGCUUAUAUUAGUUUUACAUUUGGAUGAAUUAUACUAUUAUGAAAUAAAAA
Long non-coding RNA from Cydia strobilella, 2374 nucleotides. RefSeq lists it as uncharacterized. The transcript is spliced from 2 exons. The record is from RefSeq and is a predicted model, not a curated record. Lineage: Eukaryota; Metazoa; Arthropoda; Insecta; Lepidoptera; Tortricidae.